GAGUGCAAUAUGGUAACAUGGAGCUUAAUCUCAUAAAAAUAAGUCUCAGUUCGGAUUGUGGGCUGCAACCCGCCCACAUGAAGUCGGAGUUGCAGUAAUCCCGGAUCAGAAUGCCGGGGUGAAUGCGUUCCCGGGUCUUGUACACACCGCCCGUCACGCCAUGGGAGUUGGGAGUACCCAAAGUCGGUGCGCUAACCGCAAGGAGGCAGCCGCCUAAGGUAAGACCAAUGACUGGGGUGAAGUCGUAACAAGGUAGC
This 257-nucleotide ribosomal RNA is filed under the name uncultured bacterium. RNAcentral's name for it is "partial 16S ribosomal RNA". It matches the Rfam family "Bacterial small subunit ribosomal RNA", at positions 1245 to 1500 of the family's 1533-position model. The record is from RNAcentral.